This is a non-coding RNA of Macaca mulatta (Rhesus monkey), 2193 nucleotides long. The record is from RefSeq and is a predicted model, not a curated record. Lineage: Eukaryota; Metazoa; Chordata; Mammalia; Primates; Cercopithecidae.
UGCAGUAGCAACUGGAUUUGCAGCAGAAACAUUCUGCUACAGAACAAGUGUCUUGGUUCACAGCAAAGAGGACAAAGAAAACAGCAAGUUUUAGGGGGUUGAAUCCUGGAUUUUCUUCCAAGAAUGGUGCGUACCUGAAUAUUCUAGAUACCAAGGAGAGAACUUAUAACAUGCAACGGAUGCCCUAGAGUAUGAGGACUUAAUUCUCUGAGGAACUCCAGCCUACCCUCUGAGUCUUUUUCCUGUGUGCUACUCCUAACCUGCAUCCUCCUACAUCCCACCACCUCUGGGUUAUAUCCACCAUGUGGAGGCUGAUGGACCCCAACCAAAAUUCAGUUUGGAUGUCAAGACUGAUAAUGCUAUACUCCAACACCAAGGAACACCUUCUUCCACUGACAGCUUUGAGGCUGUAUCUUUCCAGCUUUAGCAUCAGAAAGGAAAGGAGUCUAUGUCUCAGCUCCAAAUGGAAAAAUCCUAAAAAAGAACACUGAUUGGUGAUGUUAGGACAGAAGCCCAACAGCCAUCAAAUCACUGCAACAAGAAAAUGAAGAUGCCACUGUUGCUGGAGAAAUGUCACUGCUAGAGAAUAGAAGACUAUUAUUCCAAAGGGUAUUUGAGACUGACUGAAUCAGGUCUGGAAUAUUAUUGAAAUGAAGAAUAAUGACAUAAUGACAUCUGGACCACCAACUGUCCUGCAGAGUCACAGAGAGACGGCCAGUGUAAACCCUCAAGCAACUACAUGUGAAAUCUAGAUGUCUCUUCAUCAUUCAUGUUCUGCUGAUACCAUUCAUAUCCUGCCCCAGACUGGGAUGACAUUUUCACUUUCUUCAAUCAAGCUUUAUUCAUGAUUACUGUGAAAUUUUUAGUCUCUGCAUCUGCAAUUGCUCAAAGAUGAUACUAGACCCACAAAGGAAGAGAUACUGAGAUCAUUUGGGAACCAAGAUCUGCUUUAUAGGGACUAAAGAAGUUCGCAGCUACUGGAACUGGACGCAAAUUAGAAAGAGCCCAUGAGACAUAGAAUCCCUACUGUGCUCUUUGUGAACUUUUACUCAUGAAUGGCUUACUGUAGUUCAUUCAUAUUGUUUUAUGAAGUAAGUUAUUUCUAGUAACAACCUGCAUAACCUUUUGAUUUUUUUUUCUUUUUAUUUGACAAAGUGAGAAAAGGAUAGCACUGAAAAUUGGAGGGUUGGCUGUUGCUAGGCACCAAACUGACAUUCAGGAAGUGGAAAUGAUACCCAAGAAGAUUUAAAAAAUAAACAAGUGUUUUAAUCUUUAACUGCAACUCCAAUGAUUCAAAUUAAGUUAUCUGAUUACUAGUAUUUCCCAAACAGACUUUUAACAAGAGAAAUGGGAUGCUAUUUUUGAACUAUCAGUACUCUGUUGUAUUUGUUAGUACAGUUAUUUUUGCUCCUAGUAUGUUUGUCAGAGUCACUGAAAUUUAUAAUUUUUAGGUUUAGUGGUUAGAGGAGUAGACAGUAGUUUGCAAGACAAAGUCAAAUUUAUGUCAUUUAAAUUUCUAUAGAGUUAGCUUGAAUAUUUCCCUAAAGAGACCUUUGAAAUAUAGGUAAAAUUGAAUAAACAAUUGACUCAUUCCAUGAUCAUUGGUGUUUUUGUCUACCUCCAUAAAGAGCUUCAUACCUUUGACCUCUGAAAUAAUUGAUUGAGAUCCUGAGAGAUAUCACCAAUUGCAUUUCCUUUCCUCCAAAACAUUCUCUUUGCAUUCAUGGCUGUUCUGAAAGAAAGGCAUGGCCUCUCUCCUAAGCUCUGUGGAGCCUUAGUAAUCUCUGUGAUAGAUGAUGCCAGCUUUGCGUACUGAUGUAUUUAUGGUCAUAAUACCAAUAAUAAAUGACGUAGGCCUAACUCUACCAAGAGGAGCAAAAACUGGACACUGUAGCUUUGCAGAAUUAGCAACACAGGCCCAGUACACAUGGCAGCACUGUGUAGUGGUUGGAAGUGCAGCCUUCAAAGUCAACUGCUUGGAUUGGAAUCUUGUUCUUUUGUUUAUAAGCUGUGUGACCUUAGGUAAGUCACUUAUCUUCUCUGUGCCUAUGUCUUCACCUUUAAGAGGGGAGAGUAACAAUAGCUAGCUUAUUGUUAUUAAGAUGCUUAAAUUAGAUGAUAUCUUUAAGGCUCUUAGAAAAAUGCCUGACAUGAUAAUUAAUAAAUGAUUUGAUAAAUCAAGUAACAUACAGA